AGAGUUUGAUCAUGGCUCAGGAUGAACGCUAGCUACAGGCUUAACACAUGCAAGUCGAGGGGCAGCAUGGUCUUAGCUUGCUAAGGCCGAUGGCGACCGGCGCACGGGUGAGUAACGCGUAUCCAACCUGCCUUACACUCUUGGACAGCCUUCUGAAAGGGAGAUUAAUACAAGAUGUUAUCAUGAGUAAGCAUUUUCGCAUGAUUAAAGGUUACCGGUGUAAGAUGGGGAUGCGUUCCAUUAGAUAGUAGGCGGGGUAACGGCCACCUAGUCUUCGAUGGAUAGGGGUUCUGAGAGGAAGGUCCCCCANAUUGGAACUGAGUACACGGUCCAAACUCCUACGGGAGGCA
Molecule: ribosomal RNA, 350 nt
Filed under: uncultured bacterium
Lineage: Bacteria
Description: bacterial SSU rRNA
Rfam family: Bacterial small subunit ribosomal RNA
Source: RNAcentral